Long non-coding RNA from Cebus imitator (Panamanian white-faced capuchin), 382 nucleotides. RefSeq lists it as uncharacterized. The transcript is spliced from 3 exons. NCBI's taxonomy places the organism in Eukaryota, Metazoa, Chordata, Mammalia, Primates, Cebidae. The record is from RefSeq and is a predicted model, not a curated record.
CUAGUAGCUACAGCAAGCAGCAUCAGCAGAACCUGUGGGAAGUCAGACACCAGCCCACUUUUCCCACCCACCCAGACACUCUCCCUCUCUGGUCUGUACCUUCCGUGUGGCAGCUGGAAGAGAGGAUGGUGUUCGGAGGUCUGAAGAUGUAAGGCAGGUUCUUUCCCAGGUCUGCAAAGCUGGGGUGCCCGAGGAAUAACUGGAGAUGGGUCCCAUUUUGCCAUCAGCGCCAGGAAGCACUGCCUUACAUUUCUGCAUGCAGCUCAAACUCAGAAGCCCCCAAGCAAGCCGGGAUAUAGCCUCUUCAUUGGCUGAAGCUCCUCCGAGCAGGAUUUGCUGAGUUUUGGGGUACAUGUGAAGAACAUGCAAGGUUGUUGCAUAG